ACACAAAUUAAACCAUAUCGGUGGCGAAUUGUAUUUUCUGGUAUAACUACUAGCCUGAAAUUAAUAUUUCUCAAUGCACCGCAAAAGUAUUGUAUUUUUGUUAGUAGUGCUAAAUAAAAUAAUAAAAAAAAAAUAGCAAAAUGUAUAAAACUUAAAACCAAAACCACAUGCAUGUGUUAAAUUUAAGAUUCAAGUGCAAAAAUAGAUGUACAUUUUCAAUGGACUAUGGAAUAUUGAAAAGUUUAAACGAGGAAAGAUGAUGUUUAAAAAAAAAACUUAUUUAAAAAAAAACAUACAAAAAAAGGAACAACAGUGAAAGAAUAUAAUAGCAAAAGAAUCAGCAAGAAAAUUAAAAAGAAAAUAUUCAUAUUUACCUUGUAAUGACCAUCGGCUGUAAGAUUGUCGUCAUCGGUUGGUACAACCGUUGCGACCCGAUAAGAGUCGGCUCUCCCAUGCUAUCAAUAUGAUAUAUCACACAAAAGUCAACAUCAUCAUCAUGAUGAUCAACAACGAGACGACGAUUAUUGUGUUGGCGGCAGCAGCGGCGUAUUGUUGGUUACGGCACAAAAUAUUAAACAAACAAAAUGCAAACGCAAACGAAGAGAACGAAUGACAGAAAUGCAAAUAAAAUAACAAAAUAUUAGACGAAGAACAAGCAAUCGGUAGCGCGCGGACGAUUGAUUGAAUGAGCAUUUUGUCAAAACAUAAUUAUUAUUGAUCACAUAACACAACGGCAAGAGGAAUUGGCGCAAAAAAUGAUGAAGGCAAAAUGCAAAUGAAAAGAAAAGAAAAAAAGGAAACAAAACAAAUGAAUUAUAACAGAAAAACAAUGUGUAAAACAAUGAGAGAAAAAAUAAGUCUAGUACAAAUAAUUACGUUUUUAUUAUACUAGAAGAUAAUGUUUAUAUUAUUAUUAUAUAAGUCAUACAGCAUUGAUGAUGAGAUAAUUCAUAGUAAUGCAUAAUAAAUUUCAUUAUUAAUAAAAAUAAAUUUAUGCACAAAAUCAA
Long non-coding RNA from Stomoxys calcitrans (stable fly), 1007 nucleotides. RefSeq lists it as uncharacterized. NCBI's taxonomy places the organism in Eukaryota, Metazoa, Arthropoda, Insecta, Diptera, Muscidae. The record is from RefSeq and is a predicted model, not a curated record. The transcript is spliced from 2 exons.